AGCACAGAGAGUCGUUGACUAGAGAUGAUACGCCGUCUCAUGGCGGUCACUUCCUGUCAGCGUUACAGAUCAGAAGCACAGAGAGUCGUUGACUAGAGAUGAUACGCCGUCUCAUGGCGGUCACUUCCUGUCGACGUUACAGAUCAGAAGCACAGAGAGUCGUUGACUAGAGAUGAUACGCCGUCUCAUGGCGGUCACUUCCUGUCAGCGUUACAGAUCAGAAGCACAGAGAGUCGUUGACUAGAGAUGAUACGCCGUCUCAUGGUGGUCACUUCCUGUCAACGUUACAGAUCAGAAGCACAGAGAGUUGUUGACUAGAGAUGAUACGCCGUCUCAUGGUGGUCACUUCCUGUCGACGUUACAGAUCAGAAGCACAGAGAGUUGUUGACUAGAGAUGAUACGCCGUCUCAUGGUGGUCACUUCCUGUCGACGUUACAGAUCAGAAGCACAGAGAGUUGUUGACUAGAGAUGAUACGCCGUCUCAUGGUGGUCACUUCCUGUCAACGUUACAGAUCAGAAGCACAGAGAGUUGUUGACUAGAGAUGAUACGCCGUCUCAUGGUGGUCACUUCCUGUCAACGUUACAGAUCAGAAGCACAGAGAGUCGUUGACUAGAGAUGAUACGCCGUCUCAUGGUGGUCACUUCCUGUCAACGUUACAGAUCAGAAGCACAGAGAGUCGUCGACUAGAGAUGAUACGCCGUCUCAUGGUGGUCACUUCCUGUCGACGUUACAGAUCAGAAGCACAGAGAGUCGUCAACUAGAGAUGAUACGCCGUCUCAUGGCGGUCACUUCCUGUCAACGUUACAGAUCAGAAGCACAGAGAGUCGUCAACUAGAGAUGAUACGCCGUCUCAUGGUGGUCACUUCCUGUCAACGUUACAGAUCAGAAGCACAGAGAGUCGUCGACUAGAGAUGAUACGCCGUCUCAUGGUGGUCACUUCCUGUGAACCAGCAGCUUUUUACAACGUUACAGAACGGAGCGUUGACAGUAGUUGUUUGUUUCAACCCAUCUCGUUGUCAGUCUGAGCUGGACUUUGGAUGUCACUAAGUUCUACAAACUGGACCUUUUAAUCAUUUCUUCAAUUACUUAGAAAGAGCACUGCGACCUUUGACCUCCACCACAGCAGGUUCAGACUCACUAUCUUCACACACACUCGUUUUAGAAACUGUGUGUGUGUGUGUGUGUGUGUGUG
Molecule: long non-coding RNA, 1193 nt
Organism: Epinephelus fuscoguttatus (brown-marbled grouper)
Lineage: Eukaryota; Metazoa; Chordata; Actinopteri; Perciformes; Serranidae
Exons: 3
Source: RefSeq, a predicted model, not a curated record